RNAcentral lists this ribosomal RNA (234 nucleotides) under uncultured bacterium. Its description in RNAcentral is "partial 16S ribosomal RNA". It matches the Rfam family "Bacterial small subunit ribosomal RNA", at positions 96 to 334 of the family's 1533-position model. The record is from RNAcentral.
UGGCGGACGGGUGAGUAAUGUCUGGGAAACUGCCCGAUGGAGGGGGAUAACUACUGGAAACGGUAGCUAAUACCGCAUAACGUCGCAAGACCAAAGAGGGGGACCUUGGGCCUCUUGCCAUCGGAUGUGCCCAGAUGGGAUUAGCUAGUAGGUGGGGUAAAGGCUCACCUAGGCGACGAUCCCUAGCUGGUCUGAGAGGAUGACCAGCCACACUGGAACUGAGACACGGUCCAG